UCAGAUUUGGCGGUGGCUCUUGCCACUGACCAUGGUGACGAGUCGAGCCCCCCGAAACGCCUCACAAUGAGGUCCGGGAUGGUCGCUCGCACCGAUGGGAUCGCUAAGCCGCCGUCCUGAA
This is a non-coding RNA of Bombyx mori (domestic silkworm), 121 nucleotides long. Lineage: Eukaryota; Metazoa; Arthropoda; Insecta; Lepidoptera; Bombycidae. The record is from RefSeq and is marked provisional.